Molecule: ribosomal RNA, 647 nt
Filed under: uncultured Basidiomycota
Lineage: Eukaryota; Fungi; Basidiomycota
Description: eukaryotic LSU rRNA
Rfam family: Eukaryotic large subunit ribosomal RNA
Source: RNAcentral
GCCAUAUCAAUAAGCGGAGGAAAAGAAACUAACAAGGAUUCCCCUAGUAACUGCGAGUGAAGCGGGAAAAGCUCAAAUUUGAAAUCUGGCAGUCUUUGGCUGUCCGAGUUGUAAACUAGAGAAGUGUUACCCGCGUCGGACCGUGUACAAGUCUCCUGGAAUGGAGCAUCAUAGAGGGUGAGAAUCCCGUCUUUGACAUGGACUACCGAGGCUUUUGUGGUGCGCUCUCAACGAGUCGAGUUGUUUGGGAAUGCAGCUCAAAAUGGGUGGUAAAUUCCAUCUAAAGCUAAAUAUUGGCGAGAGACCGAUAGCGAACAAGUACCGUGAGGGAAAGAUGAAAAGAACUUUGGAAAGAGAGUUAAACAGUACGUGAAAUUGCUGAAAGGGAAACGCUUGAAGUCAGUCGCGUUGGCCGGAAAUCAACCCUGCUUCUGUUAGGUGUACUUUCUGGUUGACGGGCCAGCAUCAGUUUUGACCGGUGGAAAAAGUCCAAGGGAAUGUGGCAUCUCCGGAUGUGUUAUAGCCCUUGGUCGUAUACAUCGGUUGGGACUGAGGAAUUCAGCACGCCGCAAGGCCGGGUUUCGACCACGUUCGUGCUUAGGAUGCUGGCAUAAUGGCUUUAAUCGACCCGUCUUGAAACACGGACC